This is a long non-coding RNA of Alligator sinensis (Chinese alligator), 787 nucleotides long. RefSeq lists it as uncharacterized. The record is from RefSeq and is a predicted model, not a curated record. NCBI's taxonomy places the organism in Eukaryota, Metazoa, Chordata, Crocodylia, Alligatoridae. The transcript is spliced from 3 exons.
CAAACAGUAUUUUUUUUUGGAAGAUCAUGCUAAUCUCUGGAGGUCCUUCAAGUCUAAAAGGAAACGGGCAAUUAGUCAACCAUGCUAAAUCCUAAGAAAAGCACUGGGACAUCUCCACUAUAAGCUAAUGUGAGGGAGUGCUCUGCAAGAAGCUUCUACAGAGUGGGACAGCAGAGGGACCUCUCAGUGAGGCACAAGAGGCUCACAUUCAGCUACUACCACAGCCCACAGUCUAUGUGGCAAGGCUGCCCUUUGCUCAGAAUGGCUUCUAAAUUCCAACCUCUUGCUCUGCCCCACACCUCAUUUCCAUGACCUGUGCUGACACAGACUUCACCCAGAGAGAUGGGUCAACACUGGCCCCAACAAAGGUGCACAGAGCAGCAAGAGAGGUAGGACAUCUCUUGGCAAGGCCCUUUGCCUCUGGGCCCUUGUUGGGCCCGUUUCUGAUGUAGGACAAGGGGCGAUGUCAUGUGUGUUUCUUCCAAUAAAGUGGAUCAGCUGUGGUGGGACAUAUCCCACCACAUAUUCCACAUAUAGUUAAAAACCCUCUUACCUUUUGAAUGGUUUUAUUUGUUUACCUAAUUAAGUUUAUGUAUGUGAACUAUUCUUUACUUGGAUAAUUGUUAACUUCUCUUUGCUCCACAGGUUUACUGCCCUUUUUUCCUAUUCAGAUGAUCAUUUACAUUUAUGUUAUGAGUUUAAACAAAAGUAAUUGUUCUACCUGGUAUUUAGGCUGCGUCUUUCCUAGAUGUGUAGAAGUGCAUUGCAUGCCUAGAAGCUUAUCUGU